RNAcentral lists this ribosomal RNA (390 nucleotides) under uncultured bacterium. RNAcentral's name for it is "bacterial SSU rRNA". It matches the Rfam family "Bacterial small subunit ribosomal RNA", at positions 28 to 419 of the family's 1533-position model. The record is from RNAcentral.
GACGAACGCUGGCGGCGUGCUUAACACAUGCAAGUCGAGCGGUAAGGCCCUUUCGGGGUACACGAGCGGCGAACGGGUGAGUAACACGUGGGUGACCUGCCCUCAGCUCUGGGAUAAGCCUGGGAAACCGGGUCUAAUACUGGAUAUGACUCCAUGACGCAUGUUGUGGGGUGGAAAGCCUUGUGCGGCUGAGGAUGGGCCCGCGGCCUAUCAGCUUGUUGGUGGGGUGANGGCCUACCAAGGCGACGACGGGUAGCCGGCCUGAGAGGGCGACCGGCCACACUGGGACUGAGACACGGCCCAGACUCCUACGGGAGGCAGCAGGUGGGGAAUCUUGCGCAAUGGGCGAAAGCCUGACGCAGCGACGCCGCGUGAGGGAUGACGGCCUGG